This 71-nucleotide transfer RNA is filed under the name Loxodonta africana (African savanna elephant). It matches the Rfam family "tRNA". Rfam says of the family: Transfer RNA (tRNA) molecules are approximately 80 nucleotides in length. Their secondary structure includes four short double-helical elements and three loops (D, anti-codon, and T loops). Further hydrogen bonds mediate the characteristic L-shaped molecular structure. tRNAs have two regions of fundamental functional importance: the anti-codon, which is responsible for specific mRNA codon recognition, and the 3' end, to which the tRNAs corresponding amino acid is attached (by aminoacyl-tRNA synthetases). tRNAs cope with the degeneracy of the genetic code in two manners: having more than one tRNA (with a specific anti-codon) for a particular amino acid; and 'wobble' base-pairing, i.e. permitting non-standard base-pairing at the 3rd anti-codon position. Lineage: Eukaryota; Metazoa; Chordata; Mammalia; Proboscidea; Elephantidae. The record is from Rfam by way of RNAcentral.
GCAUUGGUAAUCCCACAGCAGAAUUCUUACCUUUCAUGCAGAAGGUCUGGGUUCAAUUCCUAGCCAAUGCG